UAUCUCAGGAGUUAAGUUUCAACAUAUGAAUUUUGUUGUGAAUACUGAGAUCAUAGCAGCAGUGAUUCUAAUAUUCUGGUAAAUUAUAAAAAAAAUACCUUAAAUAACACAGCCUGAUAGAACACAAAAUUGACAGAAUUUCAAGGAGGAAAAAACAGAUCCAGAUUCACACAGUGAAAGAUUUUAGUCUGAAUCUCAGUAAUCGAAAAAUAUAACAAAAAUCAGAACAAUCUUCUUAAAGUGUGUUAAAACAACACAAUGAAGCAAAUUGAUUUAAUAGAUAAAACCCAAACACUUAAUACUGCAUUUUAUUUUCAAACGCACCUGGAACAUUUAGAAAAGUUAACUAGUGCUACUACUAGGAGUCCAUGAAGUGAAUUUCAAUGAAUAUUAAAGAGUCACUAACUUUCUUUUCCAACUAUUAUGCAAGUUGUAUAGAAAUUAAUAAAAGAUAACUGAAUAAUUCCAUAUUUUUAUAAUAGAGAAGACAAAGAUAGUAAAAAGUGAUAAUAUGAUAAAUAACAUAGGCUCCUUGAUGCACCAUUAAUGUCUCUCUCCUUUUUUUUUUUGGUGGGGGAAGGGGAGCACUAGGUUAAGUCUCCAGGGGCAAUUGACCACUGAGCCAUAUCUCCAGUGCUGUCUAUUUUUAUUUUGAGAGAGGGUCUCACUAAGUUUCUUCGGGUCUUACUUAGUUGCUGAGGCUGGCCUUGAACCUGUGAUCCUCCUGUCUUAGCCUUCUGAGCUACAGGGAUUACAGAUGUGUGCCCCCAUUCCUGGAUGAUUAAUAUCAUUUGAAGGAACUGAAUCAAUUCACUCUAAAACCAUGAGACUCUACUUGGGAUUUGUUCUUUUUUCUUUCUUUCUUUUUUCUUUGGUACCAGGGAUUGAACUCAGGGGCACUCCACCACUGAGCCACAUCUCAGCCCUAUUUUGAAUUUUAUUUAGAGACAGGGUCUCACUGAACUGCUUAAUCUUGAAGUUGCUGAGGUUGGCUUUGAACUUGCAAUCCUCCUGCCUCAGCCUCCUGAGCUGCUGGAGCUACAGGUGUGCGCCACCGCACCUGGCUUGUUCUUUUUUGGGCUAAUGCAUUCAAACACUUAAUUAGAUAAUUUCCUAGAAAAAUGUAACCUGAGACCCUGUGCCUAUUAGAAGAAAAUGUAAGCCCAACUCUCUAUCAUAUCUGCUUAGGAACUGACUUCCUCAAUAAGACUGUUAAAGUGCAAGAAGUAAAAUCAAGAAUCAAUAAAUGGAUGGUAUCAAACUAAAAAGCUUCUUCCCAACAAAGGAAGCAAUCAAUAAAGAGAGAGCCUACAGAAUGGGGAAAAAGUCUUUGCCACUCCCAGCAUAUAUAAAGAACUCAAAAAACUUGACACCUAAACCAAAAAUAACCCAAUCAAUACAUGAGCAAAGGAACUGAACAGGCACUUUACAGAAGAAAUAUGAUUGGUCAACAAAUGUAUGAAAAAAUGUUCACCAUCUCUAUUAAUUGAAAAAAAAAUGCAAAUUAAAACUACACUGAGAUUCUAUCUCAUUCCAGGCAGAAUGACAAUUAUCAAGAAUAAAAGUUACAAUAAAUGUUGGCAAGGAUGUGGGGGAAAAGGCACACUCAUACAUUGCUGGUGGGACGGCAAAUUGGUGCAACCACUCUGCAAAGCAGUAUGGAGAGUCCUCAGAAAACUUGGAAUGGAAUCACCAUUUGACCCAGUUAUUCCACUCCUUGGCAUAUACCCAGAGGGCUUAAAAUCAGCGUGCUAUAACGACACAGCCACAUUAAUGUUUAUAGCAUCUCAAUUCACAAUAGCUAAGCUAUGGAACUAACCUAGGUUCUCUUCAACAAUGAAUGCAUAAAGAAAAUGUGGUAUAUACACAGUGGAAUAAUACUCAGCCAAAAAGAAGAAUGAAGUCAUGGCAUUUGCUGACAUUUGGAUGGAACUGGAGACUGUCAUGCUAAGUGAAAUAAGCCAUCCCCCAAAACCAAACACUGAAUGUUGUCUCUGAUAUGUGGAUGCUGAGAUACAAUAAAGCGUCCAGGGAAGAAGAGAAGUUCAUUGGAUUAGACAAGGGGGAAUGAAGGGAAGGGAAAAGGAUGGGAAUAGGAAAGUGGAAUGAAUUG
RNAcentral lists this long non-coding RNA (2113 nucleotides) under Marmota monax (woodchuck). Lineage: Eukaryota; Metazoa; Chordata; Mammalia; Rodentia; Sciuridae. The record is from RNAcentral.